RNAcentral lists this ribosomal RNA (305 nucleotides) under uncultured bacterium. RNAcentral describes it as "bacterial SSU rRNA". It matches the Rfam family "Bacterial small subunit ribosomal RNA", at positions 331 to 652 of the family's 1533-position model. The record is from RNAcentral.
UCGGACCUACGGGAGGCAGCAGUGAGGAAUAUUGGUCAAUGGCCGGAAGGCUGAACCAGCCAAGCCGCGUGAAGGACGAAGGUGCCAAGCAUUGUAAACUUCUUUUGACAGGGAAGAGCAGAAGACGGUACCUGUCGAAUAAGCCACGGCUAACUACGUGCCAGCAGCCGCGGUAAUACGUAGGUGGCAAGCGUUGUCCGGAUUUACUGGGUGUAAAGGGCGUGUAGCCGGGCUGACAAGUCAGAUGUGAAAUCCGGGGGCUCAACCCCCGAACUGCAUUUGAAACUGUUGGUCUUGAGUAUCGG